AGGCUCAGGUAUGUCUUUAUUACCAGUUACGAGAAUGAAUUGGAGUGGCAUGAAGCAUGAGAUAAGCAGACCACUUACAAGACUGUUGCAGUUGUAAAGCAUAGGAUGACAGGACUGGAUUAAGGUUCUUGAGGAUACAAUCAACCAAGGUACACUUUAAAUUAAAGCAGAUAUAUGGAUAAAACAGGAAAAAUACAAGGAUAUUCAAUAUCAACAUUUCCAUUAAGAAUUGUACUUGGGCAUCUGGCCAACAGAAUUCAGAGCCCCAGCCUGUUCAUAAAAAAAAUCAGAUGAAUUUUGUCUGCGGAACAUUCUGCAAAAAUAUCUGACCAGUAAGUAAUCCUCUAAAUAGCCACAGCCAUCAACAGCAAGGAAAGUCUGAGAAAGUGUCACAGCCAAGAGGACCCUAUAAAGACAUGAUGACUAAAUGUAACAUGGUGUCUUCCAUGGGAUCCUGAAACAGAAAAAGGACAUUAGUCCUAGCUACUCCGGAGGCUGAGGCAGGAGGAUCACUUGAGCCCAGGACUUUGAGGCCGCUGUAAGCUAUGAUCAUGCCACUGCACUCCAGCUCAGGCAACAGUGAGACCCGGUCUCAACAAACAAAAGAAAAUAAAAGAAUGGUAGACAAG
RNAcentral lists this non-coding RNA (629 nucleotides) under Pan troglodytes (chimpanzee). Lineage: Eukaryota; Metazoa; Chordata; Mammalia; Primates; Hominidae. The record is from RNAcentral.